AUUGAAUAGAAACAGUCUGGGCUAAAAUCACAGCCCAAAGAGCCAAAAAAAAUUACAAGAUAAGCACUAUUUAACUAAGGUGUAGGUAGGAUUGAGCAAUGAACCAGGCCCACCCGAAAACCCGACCGAUCCGACCAGUUUUGGGCGGGUCUGAAAAUAUUCGGGUCGGAUUUCGGGUCUUAUUUUUGGGUUUGGGUCGGUAUCGGGUCAUACAUAUAGUCUGAACCCGAUUUUUUUUUGUUGAACGGUCUCUCUCUCCGCCUCCCUCAGCUACCUCCCAAGUGUCAAUCUCACAAAACAUCACAGCCGACUCUUCGUUGUUCUAUCUCAGAAAUUGCUCAACCAAGAAACAAUGGCUGUUCCUUUGCUGACAAAGAAGAUUGUUAAGAAGCGUGUGAAGCAGUUCAAGCGCCCACAAAGUGACAGGAAGAUUUCUGUCAAGGUAUAUUGCAAAUGUGCAGAUUAGCAAGAAUAAGCAACACCAAUAUAGAACUGCAGCGUUGGAUGUGUGGGAAAAACUAGAGGAUUUUGUUCAGUCACAAUCACAUUCUUGAUGUGCACCGGCUUUUUACCAAUAGAUAGUUUGCUUGAAAAAUCAAUUACCCAUAUUUACAAAUUUGGAUAGUCUGGAGUUUAUGUCAAAAGUUGGUACUUUGAUAAAAAUAAGUAGGGCAUUGUAGUUGACAUUGUUUAUUUUAGUUGAGGGUGUGUAGGACAUGAGAGGUAUAAGGUUGGUUAGGGUAUGUGUUACGAAAUGCAACGAUUGUGAGAAAAACAUAAUAACUGAGUGUUGAAUUUAGGAUAGUAUGGAUAGGUUGUGGAGAUCCAACUCCUCUAUCAGCUCCAGGACUAGUUGUCCUCCUGAUAUUGUAAAUGAAGAAGAUCACACUAUUGAUGAUAAUGAGUUGAUCCCUGAUUUUCGUAA
This is a long non-coding RNA of Quercus robur (English oak), 925 nucleotides long. RefSeq lists it as uncharacterized. The transcript is spliced from 3 exons. The record is from RefSeq and is a predicted model, not a curated record. NCBI's taxonomy places the organism in Eukaryota, Viridiplantae, Streptophyta, Magnoliopsida, Fagales, Fagaceae.